CCCUUAGAUGUUCUGGGCCGCACGCGCGCUACACUGACUACUUCAACGAGUUGUUUCCUUGAUCGAAAGGUCUGGGUAAUCUUUGAAAGGUAGUCGUGAUGGGGAUAGAUCCUUGCAAUUUUUGAUCUUCAACGAGGAAUUCCUAGUAAACGCAAGUCAUCAGCUUGCAUUGAUUACGUCCCUGCCCUUUGUACACACCGCCCGUCGCACCUACCGAUUGAAUGGUCCGGUGAAUCUUUAGGACUGUGGCUGAGGCCUUGCCUUGUGCGGGUCUGGCCGUGGGAAUUUAGUUAAACCUUAUCAUUUAGAGGAAGGAGAAGUCGUAACA
This 328-nucleotide ribosomal RNA is filed under the name uncultured eukaryote. RNAcentral's name for it is "partial 18S ribosomal RNA". It matches the Rfam family "Eukaryotic small subunit ribosomal RNA", at positions 1470 to 1796 of the family's 1831-position model. The record is from RNAcentral.